UUAAGCUUUAACAUUAAGCUUUAAGGAAAAUGUUAGCAUUAAAUAAUAUAUGUUAGACAGAUAAUGAUGUAGGUAUCAAGUAAUGUUAACAAUGACAUAUAUCUAAUUUCUGGUUUAUAUGAGUUGUUAGUGAAUAAACUUGUUUAUGAAAAAAAUUAUAACUAACAAGUAACAAAAGCAGUGACCUCCACAUGCACGAACAGGGGCAGGGCAGCAGAGCAACACUUCACGCACUAUCAUGACAACUUGUUCCCAGCGAACGAAGAGAAGGAAUACUUAUUAGUAAUGACAGGAAUGACAGCAAGCAAACAGCCGGGAACUUGAAGAACGC
This 331-nucleotide long non-coding RNA is filed under the name Brassica napus (rape). RNAcentral describes it as "long non-coding RNA (BNAP_LNC010872)". The record is from RNAcentral. Lineage: Eukaryota; Viridiplantae; Streptophyta; Magnoliopsida; Brassicales; Brassicaceae.